CUGCAGGCCUAACACAUGCAAGUCGAACGGUAACAGGAAGCAGCUUGCUGCUUUGCUGACGAGUGGCGGACGGGUGAGUAAUGUCUGGGAAACUGCCUGAUGGAGGGGGAUAACUACUGGAAACGGUAGCUAAUACCGCAUAACGUCGCAAGACCAAAGAGGGGGACCUUCGGGCCUCUUGCCAUCGGAUGUGCCCAGAUGGGAUUAGCUAGUAGGUGGGGUAACGGCUCACCUAGGCGACGAUCCCUAGCUGGUCUGAGAGGAUGACCAGCCACACUGGAACUGAGACACGGUCCAGACUCCUACGGGAGGCAGCAGUGGGGAAUAUUGCACAAUGGGCGCAAGCCUGAUGCAGCCAUGCCGCGUGUAUGAAGAAGGCCUUCGGGUUGUAAAGUACUUUCAGCGGGGAGGAAGGCGAUAAGGUUAAUAACCUUGUCGAUUGACGUUACCCGCAGAAGAAGCACCGGCUAACUCCGUGCCAGCAGCCGCGGUAAUACGGAGGGUGCAAGCGUUAAUCGGAAUUACUGGGCGUAAAGCGCACGCAGGCGGUCUGUCAAGUCGGAUGUGAAAUCCCCGGGCUCAACCUGGGAACUGCAUUCGAAACUGGCAGGCUAGAGUCUUGUAGAGGGGGGUAGAAUUCCAGGUGUAGCGGUGAAAUGCGUAGAGAUCUGGAGGAAUACCGGUGGCGAAGGCGGCCCCCUGGACAAAGACUGACGCUCAG
This 721-nucleotide ribosomal RNA is filed under the name Enterobacter hormaechei. RNAcentral's name for it is "bacterial SSU rRNA". It matches the Rfam family "Bacterial small subunit ribosomal RNA", at positions 40 to 750 of the family's 1533-position model. Lineage: Bacteria; Pseudomonadati; Pseudomonadota; Gammaproteobacteria; Enterobacterales; Enterobacteriaceae. The record is from RNAcentral.